GCCGACGCCUACAAGUGGAUAGAUGGGGGCAUAAUGUACAGCGGCAACUUUUACAUUAAUAUGAAGCCUGGAAAUAAUGUGUAUGGUAUACGUUUAUGAUAAAUAUGAUGAAUGUGUUCAGCUUUUACAAAACCAGAACGAUAAGUUGUAUGUUAACGUUUCUUAUUUUUUUUUUAAAUUUUUUACCUUUUUAAUUUAAUUUGGUUUUAUUGGCUUUUUUUAAACUUAAUUUGAUUCGAGUGUCUUUGAUUAGUCUUUUGUAGACGAAACGCGCGUCAGGCGCAAAUAAAAAAUUUACACCCGGGUAACUAUCUAUGAAGAGUUUAUGUAGAAACCUUAUAAAAAUUUCCUGACUCCAGGCUACCGAUAAUUGAUUUUACUCUUAAUUUCGGCGUAAUAAGAUAUCGAAAACCUCCCACAUUCCAGAUACCACAACGUUCAUUGGGACACCAUGAAUUCAGAUUUCCUACCGUACAAAUACUUAGAACUGAAAUUAUUGAUACAAGGCAAUAUACGAUCGUCAUGCAAACGAUAAAAAAAAUGAAAACAAAACGUUAAAAGUUACGACCGAAGCGCUUUUCUGGAUCAGGAACGCUCAAAGCUGAAUAUCUAAGGCCAACAAUUUAUAGCUGACUAUGCGGUAUGGGAUUUGCUCAUUGUUGAAGGCCGUACGGUGACCUAUAGUUGUUAAUGUCUGUGUCAUGUUGGCCUUUUGUGGAUAGUUGUCUCAUUGGCAAUCAUACCACAUCUUCUUUUUUAUAAUUAAUAAAGAAAGGAAAUUGUUGCUGAUUAAAACGUUAAAGAUGAUCAUUAAAGAUUUAUUCAUCUACCGACAUGAUUGCAGAAAGUAAGAAAUAGUAGAGAAAAAAAGAAAAAGUUGAAAUCAAAUGAGAUAAUACAACGUGUAUUGAACCAUUUUAUUGCUUAAAGUCCAGCAGAAAACACAUAUAUACUCAGCCUAACCAUACUAUUUGACCUACUGCGAGUUAAUCAGUUUUUACUGUUACUCCUAAAAUAUGGGUGCUGGGUAAAUCAUCAUGUAAAAUGGUCAUUAUCAGAGCCGUGUGUCUUGGUUCAAAAUGAAUUAUCUUCUUUUGAGAAAUAUUUAUUUUGUCAUCCUAUUUUUCACCUCAUAGAACUGUCCGUACCUGUGGUUUUAUUCUAUACAUUAACUUUUAUGUAUCAGCAUGUUUUCAUUUCAUUCUGUUUCGUUUCGUUUCACUUUUAUUUCGUUUCCCAGUUUACAGGUACCCCUCUUUUUGCCCCUUUUCUAUUUUUGAUAUUUUAAUCAAAAGUUUAAAAAAACCAAACAUUCAAAAAGUGAAAAAAUCAAAAUUGCACGUUAGGUUUAGUAUUUUAAAAGUUUGAUCAAAUUUCUAAACUAUCAAAUUUAAAAACGAUAUUUAGAAUUUUAAUAUUUUAAUAAUU
Molecule: long non-coding RNA, 1428 nt
Filed under: Mytilus galloprovincialis (Mediterranean mussel)
Lineage: Eukaryota; Metazoa; Mollusca; Bivalvia; Mytilida; Mytilidae
Source: RNAcentral